Molecule: long non-coding RNA, 282 nt
Filed under: Helianthus annuus (common sunflower)
Lineage: Eukaryota; Viridiplantae; Streptophyta; Magnoliopsida; Asterales; Asteraceae
Description: sRNA HanXRQr2_Chr13g0565731
Source: RNAcentral
AACAUCCACCGCUCCUCCGUCAAACGGAUCGGAAACUUGGAAAAAGGGGGGGGGGAAAUCGAAACGGCGGCGGUGUGUUGUUACAUCAGUGGGGGAUAGUGACGAAGAGUGAGUAUAAUGGAGGAAAGGAAAGCAAAAGGAGAAGGUGAAACGCUAUAUGUAGAAGGGGAAGGGGGUUCUGGGUAAUUGGGGGAGAGUAAAGAAUUACAAAAAAGGAGAACCGAGCUUUUCGGUGGUGGUUAGGUGGAGUUGGGUGGUGAUAUGGUGGUUGCAGGUGGUGGU